Molecule: ribosomal RNA, 253 nt
Filed under: uncultured bacterium
Lineage: Bacteria
Description: partial 16S ribosomal RNA
Rfam family: Bacterial small subunit ribosomal RNA
Source: RNAcentral
GACGAACCGUACAAACGUUAUUCGGAAUCACUGGGCUUAAAGGGUGCGUAGGCGGUGCAGCAAGUAGGGUGUGAAAUCCCUCGGCUCAACCGAGGAACUGCGCUCUAAACUACUGUGCUAGAGGGAGAUAGAGGUGAGCGGAACUUAGGGUGGAGCGGUGAAAUGCGUUGAUAUCCUAAGGAACACCGGUGGCGAAAGCGGCUCACUGGAUCUCUUCUGACGCUGAGGCACGAAAGCUAGGGUAGCAAACGGG